UUGAAACCCUCCUUGGAGCAAGAACCCCAAAACUCAAUUCCAGCCUUUCCUUUCUAGUAAGAAACCUUGGAGUAUAAUUUCAGAGAGAUCCAUACACUUAAACACAAGUUAUUGUCUGUAAACUAGAAAAAUGCUUCUUUUUGGACCUUUUUUGGUCCCUUAUUUCUUAAUUUUCAGGGAUAUUAACUCCAAACUGAAUCCAAGCCUUCCCUUUCUUAUAUGGAA
RNAcentral lists this long non-coding RNA (225 nucleotides) under Mytilus galloprovincialis (Mediterranean mussel). The record is from RNAcentral. Lineage: Eukaryota; Metazoa; Mollusca; Bivalvia; Mytilida; Mytilidae.